GACGAACGCUGGCGGCGUGCUUAAUACAUGCAAGUGGAGCGACGAACCAGGCUUCGGCCUGGGGCAGAGCCGCGAACGGGUGAGUAACACGUGGGUAACCUGCCUCGAUGACCGGGACAACCCGGGGAACCCGGGCUAAUACCGGAUGUGCUGUCCCCACAUCAGUGGAGACAGGAAAGGAAGCUUCGGCCUCCGCAUCGAGAUGGGCCCGCGGCCCAUUAGCUUGUUGGUGUGGUAACGGCUCACCAAGGCUGCGAUGGGUAGCUGGUCUGAGAGGACGAUCAGCCACACUGGGACUGAGACACGGCCCAGACUCCUACGGGAGGCAGCAGUAGGGAAUCUUGCGCAAUGCGCGAAAGCGUGACGCAGC
RNAcentral lists this ribosomal RNA (370 nucleotides) under uncultured bacterium. Its description in RNAcentral is "bacterial SSU rRNA". It matches the Rfam family "Bacterial small subunit ribosomal RNA", at positions 28 to 392 of the family's 1533-position model. The record is from RNAcentral.